Molecule: ribosomal RNA, 445 nt
Filed under: uncultured bacterium
Lineage: Bacteria
Description: bacterial SSU rRNA
Rfam family: Bacterial small subunit ribosomal RNA
Source: RNAcentral
CGCUGGCGGUAUGCCUUAUACAUGCAAGUCGUACGGGAGUUUUUAACUCAAGUGGCGGACGGGUGAGUAACACGUAAGAAUUUACCUUUAGGAGGGGGAUAACAACUGGAAACGGCUGCUAAUACCCCAUAUGCUUUCGAGUAAAAUGGUUUUCCGCCUAAAGAGAAGCUUGCGGCUGAUUAGCUUGUUGGUAGAGUAAUAGCCUACCAAGGCGACGAUCAGUAUCUGGUUUGAGAGGACGAUCAGACACACUGGAACUGAGACACGGUCCAGACUCCUACGGGAGGCAGCAGUGGGGAAUCUUGGACAAUGGGGGCAACCCUGAUCCAGCCAUGCCGCGUGAGCGAUGAAGGCCUUAGGGUUGUAAAGCUCUUUCACCGGUGAAGAUAAUGACGGUAGCCGGAGAAGAAGCCCCGGCUAACUCCGUGCCAGCAGCCGCGGUAAU